Molecule: ribosomal RNA, 484 nt
Filed under: uncultured bacterium
Lineage: Bacteria
Description: partial 16S ribosomal RNA
Rfam family: Bacterial small subunit ribosomal RNA
Source: RNAcentral
AUUGAACGCUGGCGGCAGGCCUAACACAUGCAAGUCGAGCGGAUGAAGGGAGCUUGCUCCUGGAUUCAGCGGCGGACGGGUGAGUAAUGCCUAUGAAUCUGCCUGGUAGUGGGGGAUAACGUCCGGAAACGGGCGCUAAUACCGCAUACGUCCUGAGGGAGAAAGUGGGGGAUCUUCGGACCUCACGCUAUCAGAUGAGCCUAGGUCGGAUUAGCUAGUUGGUGGGGUAAAGACCUACCAAGGCGACGAUCCGUAACUGGUCUGAGAGGAUGAUCAGUCACACUGGAACUGAGACACGGACCAGACGCCUACGGGAGGCAGCAGUGGGGAAUAUGGGACAAUGGGCGAAAUCCUGAUCCAACCAGGGCGCGUGUGUGAAGAAGGUCUUCGGUUUGUAAAGCACUUUAAGGGGGGAGAAAGGGCAGUAAGUUAAUACCUUGCUGUUUUGACGUUACCAACAGAAUAAGCACCGGCUAACUUCGUG